GAAUGCGUCUCGGUCAAAGCUCAUCCUUGUGGUGUGGCUGGACUGGCGUUUCCUAUCUUCCGAUAGUGGGGUCAAACUCGCUUCGGAUCGUUUACUUUGAAAAAAUUAGAGUGUUCAAAGCAGGCAUUUGCUCGGAUACAUUAGCAUGGAAUAAUGGAAUAGGACGUCGAUCCUAUUUUGUUGGUUUCUAGGACCGCCGUA
RNAcentral lists this ribosomal RNA (201 nucleotides) under uncultured fungus. RNAcentral describes it as "partial small subunit ribosomal RNA". The stretch from base 82 to 201 matches the Rfam family "Eukaryotic small subunit ribosomal RNA", at positions 742 to 864 of the family's 1831-position model. The record is from RNAcentral. Lineage: Eukaryota; Fungi.